This 28-nucleotide non-coding RNA is filed under the name Caballeronia concitans. The record is from RNAcentral. Lineage: Bacteria; Pseudomonadati; Pseudomonadota; Betaproteobacteria; Burkholderiales; Burkholderiaceae.
GUUCGCUGCCGCAUAGGCAGCUAAGAAC